UCAGGACGAACGCUGGCGGCGUGCUUAACACAUGCAAGUCGAACGGUGAAGCGGAGCUUGCUCUGCGGAUCAGUGGCGAACGGGUGAGUAACACGUGAGCAACUACCCUUGACUCUGGGAUAACAGUUGGAAACAGCUGCUAAUACCGGAUAUGACCCUGGUGGACAUCCACUGGGGUGGAAAGCUCCGACGGUCAAGGAUGGGCUCGCGGCCUAUCAGCUUGUUGGUGAGGUAACGGCUCACCAAGGCGUCGACGGGUAGCCGGCCUGAGAGGGCGACCGGCCACACUGGGACUGAGAUACGGCCCAGACUCCUACGGGAGGCAGCAGUGGGGAAUAUUGCACAAUGGGCGAAAGCCUGAUGCCAGCAACGCCGCGUGCGGGAUGACGGCCUUCGGGUUGUAAACCGCUUUCAGCAGGGACGAAGGGUUUCUGACGGUACCUGCAGAAGAAGCACCGGCUAACUACGUGCCAGCCGCUGC
RNAcentral lists this ribosomal RNA (481 nucleotides) under uncultured bacterium. RNAcentral's name for it is "bacterial SSU rRNA". It matches the Rfam family "Bacterial small subunit ribosomal RNA", at positions 24 to 518 of the family's 1533-position model. The record is from RNAcentral.